Neofelis nebulosa (Clouded leopard) is the source of this 1030-nucleotide long non-coding RNA. RefSeq lists it as uncharacterized. NCBI's taxonomy places the organism in Eukaryota, Metazoa, Chordata, Mammalia, Carnivora, Felidae. The transcript has 5 exons. The record is from RefSeq and is a predicted model, not a curated record.
UCCAAGAGAAGCUGUUAACUUCCAGAGAUACAUAAGUCUUUUAGGGAGAAAAGGAAACCUUCAAUUUAACUAAAUAGGAAAUGUAGAUGAAAUCUUGAUAUUCUUUGAUACGCCAAAAAUUAUAAAGUCAAUCCUAAAUGUGCUAAAGCAGUCAGGAUCAUGAGCAUAGAAUAUAAAAAGCAGUAUUUUUCUGUUAUGUAACUGCAUAUGCCUGGAAGCGAUUCAGGAGAAGAUUUGGGUCCUGAAUUAUUAAGAAUAUUUGUAUAUUCUCCAGGGGCAGGAAGUCUUAUUACAUAGCUGAUGUCCAGAGGCCUCUAGCCUAUAAAUAGGGUGUCUCACUUGUCUCCUAAAUUCUAACAAUGAGCUAAAGGAGGAGAGCGAGAGCUAAAGGAGGAGUAAGAAGGAGAUGCUAAGAGGAGAGAAAUGAAUAAAUGGCCUCUAAUAUUUGAGAGUCUGCCAGAAAAGACAGCAAAAAGACAUUGAAAUAAGCCACGAAGGUGUUCAAAGUGUAAAUGCAAGCUUCUGAGAGGAUUUUCCUCAGACCUCACCCUGAGAACCUGCUGGUGAUUGUGGCUAUUUCUUCUAAGCCUUACAUUGAAUAUCUCUGAAAGCUGGACCCAUUUUAGGAGCAUCUCUGAAGCAGAAUGAAGACUGGCUGGUCAUCCUCCAUCUGGGUUUCAUUCUUUUGCAUGUAUCUGUCCAACUCGCAUAGGAGAUGAAACUUGUCAAUCAGCCUGGCCUGAGCUCCUGGUUGUAUCUCAAAGCUUUGUGAUGGUCCAGGUCAUCUUCUUUGUUCUUAGUGGUUCUCAGUGGUUGAGGGUGUGCCAAGACCAGACAGUAUCCCAAGCGAGGAUCCCAUUCGGUACCUGGAUGAAGGCUGACUGGAAGCCGGAUCCUCAGGCAGCAGCUGGGGACGAAUGUACUCACUCCUCUUCCAGUGAGAAACAAGGGAAUAGGCACUUUUGCUUGCCUUUCUGCACUGGGCCCUGGUGUAUAGCCAUGGCUGCUGCUGUGCCUGUUAAGAAAUGCU